GCACAGGUGCUGCAUGGCUGUCGUCAGCUCGUGUCGUGAGAUGUUCGGUUAAGUCCGCUAACGAGCGCAACCCUCGCUGUGUGUUAUAUGUGUCACACGGGACUGCCGGUCUUAAGCCGGAGGAAGGUGGGGAUGAUGUCAAGUCAGCAUGGCCUUUAUAUCCUGGGCUACACACACGCUACAAUGGCCAGCACAGUAGGUUGCUAAGCCGCGAGGUGGAGCCAAUCCAUAAAGCUGGUCUCAGUUCAGAUUGCAGGCUGCAACCCGCCUGCAUGAAGAUGGAGUUGCUAGUAACCGCAGGUCAGCUAUACUGCGGUGAAUACGUUCCCGGGGCUU
Molecule: ribosomal RNA, 336 nt
Filed under: uncultured Leptolinea sp.
Lineage: Bacteria; Bacillati; Chloroflexota; Anaerolineae; Anaerolineales; Anaerolineaceae
Description: bacterial SSU rRNA
Rfam family: Bacterial small subunit ribosomal RNA
Source: RNAcentral